GGGCGAUUAGCUCAGUUGGCAGAGCGCCGCUUUCGCAAGGCGGAGGUCGCCGGUUCGAAUCCGGCAUCGUCCACCA
Molecule: transfer RNA, 76 nt
Filed under: Pseudomonadota bacterium
Lineage: Bacteria; Pseudomonadati; Pseudomonadota
Description: Proteobacteria bacterium (marine metagenome) tRNA-Ala
Rfam family: tRNA
About the family: Transfer RNA (tRNA) molecules are approximately 80 nucleotides in length. Their secondary structure includes four short double-helical elements and three loops (D, anti-codon, and T loops).
Source: RNAcentral